Molecule: transfer RNA, 65 nt
Filed under: Dipodomys ordii (Ord's kangaroo rat)
Lineage: Eukaryota; Metazoa; Chordata; Mammalia; Rodentia; Heteromyidae
Rfam family: tRNA
About the family: Transfer RNA (tRNA) molecules are approximately 80 nucleotides in length.
Source: Rfam by way of RNAcentral
GGUGGCUCAGUGGUAGAGCGCUUGCUUUGCAUGCAUAAGGCCCUAGGUUCGAUUCCUCAGCACCA